Molecule: unclassified non-coding RNA, 315 nt
Filed under: uncultured fungus
Lineage: Eukaryota; Fungi
Also listed under: 1 other name
Description: partial contains 5.8S ribosomal RNA, internal transcribed spacer 2, and large subunit ribosomal RNA
Source: RNAcentral
AACGCACCUUGCGCCCUUUGGCCAUUCCGAAGGGCAUACCUGUUUGAGUAUCAUGAACACCUCAACUCUCAUGGCUUGCCAUGACGAGCUUGGACUUUUGGGGGUCUUGCUGGCCUGUGGUCAGCUCCUCUCAAAUGAAUCAGCUUGCCAGUGUUUGGUGGCAUCACGGGUGUGAUAAACUAUCUACGCUUGUGGUUUUCUACCAGGUAACCUUCAGUGAUGGAGGUUCGCUGGGGCUCACAAAUGUCUCUCCUCAGUGAGGACAGCUCUUGAACAUUUGAUCUCAAAUCAGGUAGGACUACCCGCUGAACUUAA